GACGAACGCUGGCGGCGUGCUUAACACAUGCAAGUCGAACGAUGAAGGAGAGCUUGCUCUCCGGAUUAGUGGCGAACGGGUGAGUAACACGUGACUAACCUGCCCCUUUCUCUGGGAUAACGCUCCGAAAGUAGUGCUAAUACCGGAUACGAACUCUGAACACAUGUUCGGAGUUGGAAAGUUUUUCGGAAAGGGAUGGAGUCGCGGCCUAUCAGCUUGUUGGUGAGGUAACGGGUCACCAGGGCGACGACGGGUAGCCGGCCGUAGAGGGCGAACGGCCACACGGGGCCUGAGACGCGGCCGAGACUGCUACGGGAGGCAGCAGUGGGGAAUAUUGCACAAUGGGCGAAAGCCUGAUGCAGCAACGCCGCGUGAGGGAUGAAGGCCUUCGGAUUGUAAAACUCUUUUAGUAGGGAAGAAGCGAAAGUGACGGUACCUACAGAAAAAGCACCGGCUAACUACGUGCCAGCAGCAGCCGCAG
Molecule: ribosomal RNA, 481 nt
Filed under: uncultured bacterium
Lineage: Bacteria
Description: partial 16S ribosomal RNA
Rfam family: Bacterial small subunit ribosomal RNA
Source: RNAcentral